This 546-nucleotide long non-coding RNA is filed under the name Dermacentor andersoni. RNAcentral describes it as "uncharacterized LOC126525132". The record is from RNAcentral. Lineage: Eukaryota; Metazoa; Arthropoda; Arachnida; Ixodida; Ixodidae.
UCAUGUGUAUGGCGUACUAGAGCUAUUCGGUCAGCAAAUACAAGUGCUUACGCAAUUGUUCCUUGUGGGUAUGACAGCUUCUGCAGAGCAGCACAAUGGACAGGAAACACGGCGUAUAGCAAAGCCUCAGAGCAGCUUGACAGAGUUAUUUACAAGCACUCUCAUCGUGAAAUAGAAUCAACGGCAGGAACAAUUCUCUAAAGUAGCAGGUCUUCACCCAAUGUUGCAUACUUAAGUACUCGAUUAACUAUUCAGAUGUAUACUACCCCACGUCCUUUAACAUUUUUCAUGAUGAAAAUUCGAACUACGGUGCGUUUUUUAACAAUUGUCUUCUUCAUACGAGGAGCAUUUUGUCAAUAUGAAGCAGUUUACCGAAGGGAGCGAUACUGUCGUCGACUUUUUCCACCUGUGAUCAAUUCAGCCAUGGGCUUAUGUACGUAUCCGUGUCUAUUAUUAUCCCACGAACUGCCUCCAAAGAUAAUUGUGCAGUGGGAGCCUGACGGAACUCUUUGCAAGAUGAAUGACCGAUUCUCCCAAGAAAUAAAG